ACCUCAUCACGACGCAGGGGAGGCAUACGGGCCGAUGAUCCUGCCGCAACCGCCGGAGCGCCGGCAUGGUGCGUCUUCCGUCCGCCGAACGCGGGAAGAUGAGCU
RNAcentral lists this non-coding RNA (105 nucleotides) under Chloroflexota bacterium. Its description in RNAcentral is "Chloroflexi bacterium SAM-I sequence". It matches the Rfam family "SAM riboswitch aptamer (S box leader)". Rfam says of the family: The SAM riboswitch is found upstream of a number of genes which code for proteins involved in methionine or cysteine biosynthesis in Gram-positive bacteria. The SAM riboswitch acts at the level of transcription termination control. The record is from RNAcentral. Lineage: Bacteria; Bacillati; Chloroflexota.